Molecule: transfer RNA, 72 nt
Filed under: Anaerolineales bacterium
Lineage: Bacteria; Bacillati; Chloroflexota; Anaerolineae; Anaerolineales
Description: tRNA-His
Rfam family: tRNA
About the family: Transfer RNA (tRNA) molecules are approximately 80 nucleotides in length. Their secondary structure includes four short double-helical elements and three loops (D, anti-codon, and T loops).
Source: RNAcentral
GUGGGCGUAGCUCAAUGGCAGAGCACCUGACUGUGGAUCAGGUGGUUGCGGGUUCAAGUCCCGUCGCCCACC